This is a long non-coding RNA of Lagopus muta (rock ptarmigan), 905 nucleotides long. RefSeq lists it as uncharacterized. The transcript has 9 exons. NCBI's taxonomy places the organism in Eukaryota, Metazoa, Chordata, Aves, Galliformes, Phasianidae. The record is from RefSeq and is a predicted model, not a curated record.
AAAAUACAGAAAGAUUGACAGAACGGCAGUGCACCGUGGAGCCUCAAUAAUGCGUGAAACUUGUUUCAGUCUGAAGCACAAGAUGAGCAAUGUGCUGCUGAGCCCCUCCUUUCAGACCUUUCUGGAGUUGGAAACAGAAACAUGAAGGAAGCAUUCUGAAGUAUUGGAGUAACCUGGCUUGGUGAAUUAAGUACAUAAGAUCCAUACUAUCUUGAUUCUGAAAGGAGUCCCUUGCUUCAGUUCUCAUUCAAAACACUGAAGCAUUGUCUUGAGAACAACUGGAACAUUUCAUUCCUGGCAUCUGUGAAUAAAGCUCCAGAUCACCCAAAACCUCAUAGACUUGCAUAAAAUAAGUGAUGACAGAGGGAAGAGGCUGAGAAUUCAGGUGGAAAGAAGGAAGGCAGUUCUUGAGAGUGAGAGAUAUGGUUCUGUGGCCAUUGUGGAAAACAAAACAAAACAAAAAACGGGGAGAAGAUAAAACCUCCCUUUGAUCUCUGUUCCGCUCAUUUUAAUGCAUCUUCAUAUUAAAGCAAUGACAUCUCAUUUUCAACAGAAGACUUCUGAAAUGGAUCUCCUAAAAAGACGUCAGCAAACAGGCAAAUGAACAUAGAACACGUACCUAAGCUAUUGGAUGUUUCUAAAAGUUUUUAAUUGAAAUAACCAUGCACAGCGAAUGGGUUGUGUAAGAUAAAAAGAAAAAGGGAAGAAGAAAGGAAGGAACUGGAAAACCGCACAUAAAUGAGGCACUGGCUCCCUGUCAUGUUAUCAGUUUUCACCAUAGUGCUGGUCUGGUCUUGUCUGGAGCUCUUGUGAAGGACAUCAGGAACAUGAAAUACAGCCUCCCCGCAUGGCCUUUCCCAAAGGCAUAAGAAAUGAAUGUUUUCUGUGGAACCAGAAUGCAGUAU